ACUCCUGCGGGAGGCAGCAGUGGGGAAUUUUGGACAAUGGGGGCAACCCUGAUCCAGCAAUGCCGCGUGAGUGAAGAAGGCCUUCGGGUUGUAAAGCUCUUUUGUCAGGGAAGAAACGGUAGUAGCGAAUAACUAUUACUAAUGACGGUACCUGAAGAAUAAGCACCGGCUAACUACGUGCCAGCAGCCGCGGUAAUACGUAGGGUGCAAGCGUUAAUCGGAAUUACUGGGCGUAAAGCGUGCGCAGGCGGUUGUGUAAGUCAGAUGUGAAAUCCCCGGGCUCAACCUGGGAAUUGCAUUUGAGACUGCACGGCUAGAGUGUGUCAGAGGGGGGUAGAAUUCCACGUGUAGCAGUGAAAUGCGUAGAUAUGUGGAGGAAUACCGAUGGCGAAGGCAGCCCCCUGGGAUAACACUGACGCUCAUGCACGAAAGCGUGGGGAGCAAACAGGAUUAGAUACCCUUGUAGUCCCAUGAU
Molecule: ribosomal RNA, 475 nt
Filed under: uncultured organism
Description: partial 16S ribosomal RNA
Rfam family: Bacterial small subunit ribosomal RNA
Source: RNAcentral